GUGGUGAAAAAUGGAAUAAAAAGAUUUCCAAAAUACAACCUAUUGAUUGUUCAUAUGUAAUAGAUGCAAAAUAUUGCAUUAAAACUAAUGGCAUAUCUGGAGGUCAAAUUAUAACCAAAAGGAAUUAUUAACGGUUAGUGGAAAAAAAAAUACACACUUUGAAAAUAUGUAGAAAAAGUAUCAUAUUGCCUUUAAUUAAAUGCUACUUAACAGCACUUUUCACUGGAGUAUCAACAGCUUCUUGUGAGGCCUUAUUAUCUACACUCAAAAGGGUUUUAUCAAACACCAGAGAUUGAAAAAACAAUAAUGAAAAUAAUAA
This is a long non-coding RNA of Gordionus sp. m RMFG-2023, 319 nucleotides long. RefSeq lists it as uncharacterized. The record is from RefSeq and is a predicted model, not a curated record. NCBI's taxonomy places the organism in Eukaryota, Metazoa, Nematomorpha, Gordioida, Chordodea, Parachordodidae. The transcript has 3 exons.